UAGCGGAGGAAAAGAAACUAACAAGGAUUCCCCUAGUAGCGGCGAGCGAAGCGGGAAGAGCUCAAAUUUAUAAUCUGGCACUUUCAGUGUCCGAGUUGUAAUCUCUAGAAGUGUUUUCCGCGUUGGACCGCACACAAGUCUGUUGGAAUACAGCGGCACAGUGGUGACACCCCCGUACACGGUGCGGACGCCCAGCGCUUUGUGAUACACUUUCGAAGAGUCGAGUUGUUUGGGAAUGCAGCUCAAAUUGGGUGGUAAAUUCCAUCUAAAGCUAAAUAUUGGCGAGAGACCGAUAGCGAACAAGUACCGUGAGGGAAAGAUGAAAAGCACUUUGGAAAGAGAGUUAACAGUACGUGAAAUUGUUGGAAGGGAAACGCUUGAAGUCAGACUUGCUUGCCGGAGCUUGCUUCGGUUUGCAGGCCAGCAUCAGUUUUCCGGGGUGGAUAAUGGCGGUUAGAAGGUAGCAGCUUCAGCUGUGUUAUAGCUUUCCGCUGGAUACAUCUUGGGGGACUGAGGAACGCAGCGUGCUUUUAGCGGGGGUUUCGACCUCUUCACGCUUAGGAUGCUGGUGUAAUGGCUUUAAACGACCCGUCUUAA
RNAcentral lists this ribosomal RNA (597 nucleotides) under Rhodotorula paludigena. RNAcentral's name for it is "partial large subunit ribosomal RNA". It matches the Rfam family "Eukaryotic large subunit ribosomal RNA", at positions 48 to 657 of the family's 3401-position model. Lineage: Eukaryota; Fungi; Basidiomycota; Microbotryomycetes; Sporidiobolales; Sporidiobolaceae. The record is from RNAcentral.